GUGAGUAACACCCAAAACUAGAGUCAGAAGGUUGGCUCGGCACAGCGCUGGGAUGUGUGGAAGUCAGAGAAGCAUGUGAAGAGACAGGUACAGCAGUUCAGCAAGAGCUAUGAGAAUCAGAGGGAAAACCGCCUUCCCCCACGCAGGUCUCUGUGGCUGGUGACCAUCUUCCCAGUGAACACACAGACAGAACUCACAGCACAGUGCCCAGGCGAGGAGAGGAGACCAAUAGACGUUUGUGCAUCCUUAUGACACAUUUAGGAGAAACUGCAGUCCCAGUAUCCCAUGACCAUCUGACCAUGUUGUUUCCUUGAUCGUCCGGAUGUCACACAGUGUGCUUCAAGCAGUGUACGUGUCAGGCCCAACUCUGGUUCAGUUAUUUCCCCUUCUCUUUUGGAAUGUACUCUGCCAUGACUUUGUUUGUGAUUCAUUUUUAAGCUUUGGUAUUAAGGGUGGAAUGGGUAGAAUAGGACUGAACACUGUAAUAUCAUAACUUCCCAGUAGAAAUUCACAUCAGAAGUCCCCCGAUUUUUAAGCCCAAAGGCUGAGGGUUGGCUGCCUAGAGAGAGUAAAUGUUUUCACAAAAGGAAAAGAAUGAUUGUUUACAAGCAUUAAACUGUAUUAUCUACCACUUCUAAGAGGCAUGAAAUUGCUCAGGGUGAAAAGGACAUGAAACACUGUCCAAUCCAGCCACUCGUACAGGGUUUAGAACCCCUCACACCCCACCAUCCCCGUCAGCCCGUAAAAGGAGGGUGGAGACUGGGCUUGAACUCUUCUGGUGAUGAAAAUUGACUCUUCCUUUAAACAAACCUUGCGCAGCUCUAACUGUUCUGACUUUUGCUAUCUGCCCCUUAUUGAGCACCAAUUAUGAGCCUCGUUCUCUGCCAUGAGCUUUAUGAAUAUCUCAUUUAAUCCUCACCAUAGCCCUGGAAGUGUUAUCAUUCCCAUUUUGCAAUUCAGAAAACUCAGGUAGACUGUUGGCCUAAGAUCCCGCAGCUAGUGAGUGGCAGGGCCAGCAGAACAGUAGGCUCUCUGGUUGUAACUCCUCAUUUUCCCUACUGGUUCUUCCUUUUGUCAAGCCCCAAAUGCCCACUCUCAAUAGCUUUCACCCACUGGGGCUAUUUCUGUCUCUUGGGAGUGUGGAGGGAAAAACCUAACCUCUCUUCCACAUGAGCACUCUUCAGGUAUUUCAAGGUAUUUAUCUGAUGUCCUUUCCACUCUAGGCUAAAC
Bos taurus (domestic cattle) is the source of this 1230-nucleotide long non-coding RNA. The record is from Ensembl. NCBI's taxonomy places the organism in Eukaryota, Metazoa, Chordata, Mammalia, Artiodactyla, Bovidae.